UGGUGAGGAUGAACUCCUUUAGUUUUUCUCUUGCCUGGGAAGCUCUUUAUCUGCCCUUCGAUUCUAAACGACAGCUGUGCUGGGUAGAGCGGUCUGGGUGUGGGUCCCUGCUUUCCAUGCCUUUUCCCUUUCCCUUU
Long non-coding RNA from Phyllostomus discolor (pale spear-nosed bat), 137 nucleotides. RefSeq lists it as uncharacterized. The record is from RefSeq and is a predicted model, not a curated record. NCBI's taxonomy places the organism in Eukaryota, Metazoa, Chordata, Mammalia, Chiroptera, Phyllostomidae. The transcript has 2 exons.